Oncorhynchus tshawytscha (Chinook salmon) is the source of this 1428-nucleotide long non-coding RNA. The record is from Ensembl. NCBI's taxonomy places the organism in Eukaryota, Metazoa, Chordata, Actinopteri, Salmoniformes, Salmonidae.
GAGCAAAGCAAGUUUAAUGCCGUGUUUAGCCAUUGGUCUCUUUCUUAUGUCUGGUCUUCACAAGAUAAGGUCACGGGUUGUUUUAUACGAGUAUCUUUCAUUUAUUUGCACCGUAAACUCAGUCCUUUGUCUGGACAAUUGUUCCUUUAUGAUCUAGUCAGGUCAUUACAACAGUAAAAUGCUCUAAACACACUUUGCUGUCCUGUUUUCCAAUCGUCCACAUGGCUGGGAGAACCUAUUCAAAGAGCUGUGAAAUCCUGUCUACUCAAAGGGGUGCACGUUUUUGCACUGCACAGCUGACACAAAUGAUCAACUCAUCAAGCUUCAAGUGGUAAUUAUGUAUUAAUUUGUGAUGCUGUCCUUGAUAUAGGCGGCAGGAUAGCCUAGUGGUUAGAAGUUUUGGACUCGUAUCCGAAAGGUUGUAAGAUUGAAUCCCUGAACUGACAAGGUAAAAAUCUGUCGUUCUGCACCUGAACAAGGCAGUUAACCCACUGUUCCUAGGCCGUCAUUGAAAAUAAGAAUUUGUUCUUAACUAGUCAAAUAAAAAUAGGAUCCUGCUAUUUACACAUGCAUCUAUCAAUCCAAUGUUAUCAUGAUUUGUUAUAAGGGAUAUUAUACUUUAGUAAGCCACAAUGACCUGGUGAUAUAAUGUCAAUAUUAGACUUAAAUUCCAUAUUCCUACGGAUACCUUGUAACUGGAGAUUCCUUCAAACCGAUUGCCUACAGUUAACAUGUAGGGCACUGCAAGGUUGGGUGACCAGGGCCAUCUGGGACUGCCUCCUGGAGGAAUUCAGGUGUGUGAAGGCUACCUGUGUCCUGCAUAACGUCAUGAGGAUGGACACGAGGACCAGGAGGAGGGGGGGGGUAUGUGUGCUGGAUUUCUUCACCACAUACUUUUUUGAGGAGGGUGCUGUUCCCUGGCAACACUGUAGACUACACUAUGCACAACCAAAGGCUCUUUUAAGAACCAUUCACAUUGCAGUAAGAGUAUUCUUCCAUUUACUUCGCUAUGUCAACUGCAGUUAUAUCAGUUUGAUCUCCAUCUCUUCAUUCAAAGACUCAAUCAUGGACACUCUUACUGAGUUGUUGCUGCUUUAUGUGAUGUAUUGUUGUCUUUACCUCCUUGACCUUUUGUGCUGUUUGUGCCCAAUAAUGUUUGUACCCUGUGCUCUUGUCAUAUUGUUACUACCAUGUUGUCAUGUUGAGUUGCUACCAUGUUGUCAUGUUGAGUUGCUACCAUGUUGUCAUGUUGAGUUGCUGCCAUGUUGUCAUGUUGAGUUGCUGCCAUGUUGUCAUGUUGAGUUGCUGCCAUGUUGUCAUGUUUUGUUACUACCAUGUUGUCAUGUUGAGUUGCUACCAUGUUGUCAUGUUGAGUUGCUGCCAUGUUGUCAUGUUGAGUUGCAGGUAGCCAUGGUUGUCAUGUUAGAG